This is a long non-coding RNA of Anguilla anguilla (European eel), 447 nucleotides long. RefSeq lists it as uncharacterized. Lineage: Eukaryota; Metazoa; Chordata; Actinopteri; Anguilliformes; Anguillidae. The record is from RefSeq and is a predicted model, not a curated record. The transcript has 5 exons.
CCCCCCCCUCGCAUAAAGACGCGUGUCUGAACAGUGGCAUGUGCAGAACUGUACGGCUUUCAAAUCUGACCCCAAAGCAGGAUUGUCCCCUGCCCAUAUGCAACGGCCGACUUUCCAGUCUCCCAAGUUUUCAUCAUAACAAGCCAUGGCCGUCCAACAUACCGUAGUUGUGGCCCAGCCAACAAUGGCCACCUCAUGGCCUCAGAAUCUGAAGACUAAUCAGUGGAGCAGUGGCAUCUGUGACUGUUGUGACGAUAUGGGCAUAUGCUGUCAUGGCUUUUGGUCUCCCUGGACCCUCUCAUGCACCACAACCAGUGACUUUGGAGAGUGUUGCUGUCUCCCCCUGCUGGACUGUUGCGGUGGGGGAAUCAUACCUCCUGUCGCUCUGGCCAUGAGAACCGCUAUGAGGGAGCGGUACAACAUCCAGGGCACGAUGUUUAAUGACUG